This is a long non-coding RNA of Ostrinia furnacalis (Asian corn borer), 715 nucleotides long. RefSeq lists it as uncharacterized. Lineage: Eukaryota; Metazoa; Arthropoda; Insecta; Lepidoptera; Crambidae. The transcript is spliced from 2 exons. The record is from RefSeq and is a predicted model, not a curated record.
AUAAUAUGUGCCCCAUGCUGAGUAGAGUACUCAAAGUUAUUAUUCCUUGGCCUGAUAUCGAAAUGAUCCGUAGCAACCUACCUAAAUCAUUCCAAAAAUAUAAAAAUACAAGAAUAAUAUUCGACUGUGCUGAAACUGUGAUUGAAAAAUGUAAAUGUUUAAAAUGUAGAAUAUUGACAUACUCUCAAUAUAAAAAAAACAAUACAGCCAAGUUUAAUAUUGGAAUAACUCCUUCUGGACUUAUAACUGAAAUAAGUGCAUCUUAUGGUGGUCGAGCAUCAGAUAAACAUAUUGUAAAUAAAUCAGGAAUCUUAAAUAAAUGCGAGUUUAAUGAUGGAGUGAUGGUGGAUAAAGGAUACAGGAUUGAAUCCGAGUGUAAUGAACGUCUGCUUCAGCUUGUCAGGCCUCCUUUCUUGAGUCAGAAAAAGCAGAUGACCAAAGAAGAUGCAAUCCGCACUGCAGAGAUUGCACGGGCAAGAGUGCAUGUUGAGAGAGUGAUACAGAGAUUACGACAAUAUAAACUUCUAUGUGGACCAUUACCAUGGUCACUGGCGUCUUAUUUUGAUGAUAUAUUAAUUAUUGUUGGUGGUCUUACAAAUUUGGGUCCACCAAUUAUUCACAUUGAUAAAUUUAUGUAGUUAUUAUAUAAUCGGAAGGGAAUUUUGUAAGAGUGGCAAUAAAUUUUUACAGUGAAUAAAUAAUUUAGUACACAGAG